Molecule: non-coding RNA, 105 nt
Organism: Fukomys damarensis (Damara mole-rat)
Lineage: Eukaryota; Metazoa; Chordata; Mammalia; Rodentia; Bathyergidae
Source: Rfam
GUGCUUGCUUCGGCAGCACAUAUACUCAAAUUGGAAUGAUACAGAGGAUUAGCAUGGCCUCUGUGCAGGAAAGACAUGCAAAUUCAUGAAUGUUCCAUAUUUUUU